This 402-nucleotide ribosomal RNA is filed under the name uncultured bacterium. RNAcentral's name for it is "bacterial SSU rRNA". It matches the Rfam family "Bacterial small subunit ribosomal RNA", at positions 355 to 774 of the family's 1533-position model. The record is from RNAcentral.
UGGGGAAUAUUGGACAAUGGGCGAAAGCCUGAUCCAGCCAUGCCGCGUGAGUGAUGAAGGCCCUAGGGUUGUAAAGCUCUUUUGUGCGGGAAGAUAAUGACGGUACCGCAAGAAUAAGCCCCGGCUAACUUCGUGCCAGCAGCCGCGGUAAUACGAAGGGGGCUAGCGUUGCUCGGAAUCACUGGGCGUAAAGGGUGCGUAGGUGGGUAUGUAAGUCAGUGGUGAAAUCCCCGAGCUUAACUUGGGAACUGCCAUUGAUACUAUAUAUCUUGAAUACCGUAGAGGUAAGCGGAAUAUGUCAUGUAGUGGUGAAAUGCUUAGAUAUGACAUGGAACACCAAUUGCGAAGGCAGCUUACUAUGCGGUGAUUGACACUGAGGCACGAAAGCGUGGGUAGCAAACA